Molecule: unclassified non-coding RNA, 285 nt
Filed under: Hevea brasiliensis (rubber tree)
Lineage: Eukaryota; Viridiplantae; Streptophyta; Magnoliopsida; Malpighiales; Euphorbiaceae
Source: RNAcentral
GAAAAGCUCGGGCGCUCCGAACUACCGAUGUUGCUCGCCUUACCGAAGAAAUCAAAGCGAAAAAAGAAGAGGCUGUGACGAGGGAAGCUAGUGCUUGUGUGAAUGCCCACAGCGAUCUUUUGGCCAAGCUCGAGAGGCGUUAUCCUGGGGAAGACUUCUUGUGGAUGGUGGAUCUGGCUCCUCAAGACGAAGAGGAGAGCGAGGAGGAAACCGAGAGAGAGAGGGAGAAUGAGCGAAAUGUCAAUGUACCUGCAGAACAGGCUGGGGGUGACCCUCCAGCCGAAU